UUGUGACCUUACCUAUGUUCUGUUGCCUCGGCGGCGUGGUCAGCGCCCCCUCUGAAAAGAGGACGAUGCCCUCCCGCCGGCAGCACCAAACUCUUUGAAUUUUACAGCGGAUUACAGUUCUGAUUUGAAAACAAAAAACAAGUUAAAACUUUCAACAACGGAUCUCUUGGUUCUGGCAUCGAUGAAGAACGCAGCGAAAUGCGAUAAGUAAUGUGAAUUGCAGAAUUCAGUGAAUCAUCGAAUCUUUGAACGCACAUUGCGCCCGGCAGUAAUCUGCCGGGCAUGCCUGUCCGAGCGUCAUUUCAACCCUCGAACCUCCGUUUCCUCAGGGAAGCUCAGGGUCGGUGUUGGGGCGCUACGGCGAGUCUUCGCGACCCUCCGUAGGCCCUGAAAUACAGUGGCGGUCCCGCCGCGGUUGCCUUCUGCGUAGUAAGUCUCUUUUGCAAGCUCGCAUUGGGUCCCGGCGGAGGCCUGCCGUCAAACCACCUAUAACUCCAGAUGGUUUGACCUCGGAUCAGGUAGGGUUACCCGCUGAACUUAAGCAUAUCAAUAAGCGAGAGAAAAAAGAAAA
RNAcentral lists this ribosomal RNA (571 nucleotides) under Scedosporium boydii. RNAcentral's name for it is "eukaryotic LSU rRNA". The stretch from base 147 to 300 matches the Rfam family "5.8S ribosomal RNA". Lineage: Eukaryota; Fungi; Ascomycota; Sordariomycetes; Microascales; Microascaceae. The record is from RNAcentral.